CCCAGGGACAUCACGGCACGAGUCCAGCUUUGUGUCACGGCCAUACUGGCGCUCAUCACAAUGGCCGGCAAUUGUAAGGAGCAUGGGAUUACAGUUGUAAGUGCAGAAGAUGUCUGGAUGCGCGGAGUUAUCACCGUCGUCAACUCUGGCUUGUUUGAGUACAGUUGCCGUCAACUCCAUACUCCGCGGAAAGUUGUUUAUGCUCUCCUUCCGCAGAACCCACAGGGGAAGAGUUGGGCCGAUCCCGGGACCUUCCACAGCCUGGGCAGAAGAGGAGGAAACGUCAUCUUCCGAGACUGUCGCCAACAGGAUCGACUUCUUCUCCAGAAUCCUGUUCCCAAUCAGUUUUACUGUCUUUGUGGCCGGAUUCCUUC
Molecule: long non-coding RNA, 374 nt
Organism: Branchiostoma belcheri (Belcher's lancelet)
Lineage: Eukaryota; Metazoa; Chordata; Leptocardii; Amphioxiformes; Branchiostomatidae
Exons: 3
Source: RefSeq, a predicted model, not a curated record